UCCAGGCCCUACGGGGUGCAGCAGGCGCGAAACCUCCGCAAUGUGAGAAAUCGCGACGGGGGGAUCCCAAGUGCCAUUCUUAACGGGAUGGCUUUUCAUUAGUGUAAAGAGCUUUUGGAAUAAGAGCUGGGCAAGACCGGUGCCAGCCGCCGCGGUAACACCGGCAGCUCUAGUGGUAGCAGUUUUUAUUGGGCCUAAAGCGUCCGUAGCCGGUUUAAUAAGUCUCUGGUGAAAUCCUGCAGCUUAACUGUGGGAACUGCUGGAGAUACUAUUAGACUUGAGAUCGGGAGAGGUUAGAGGUACUCCCAGGGUAGAGGUGAAAUUCUGUAAUCCUGGGAGGACCGCCUGUUGCGAAGGCGUCUGACUGGAACGAUUCUGACGGUGAGGGACGAAAGCUAGGGGCGCGAACCGGAUUAGAUACCCGGGUAGUCCUAGCUGUAAACGAUGCGGACUUGGUGUUGGGGUGGCUUUGAGCUGUCCCAGUGCCGAAGGGAAGCUGUUAAGUCCGCCGCCUGGGAAGUACGGUCGCAAGACUGAAACUUAAAGGAAUUGGCAGGGGAGCACCACAACGCGUGGAGCCUGCGGUUUAAUUGGAGUCAACGCCGG
Molecule: ribosomal RNA, 606 nt
Filed under: uncultured archaeon
Lineage: Archaea
Description: bacterial SSU rRNA
Rfam family: Archaeal small subunit ribosomal RNA
Source: RNAcentral